GACGAACGCUGGCGGCGCGCUUAACACACGCAAGUCGAACGGAAAGGCCUGCUUUCCCUUGUGGAUUGCGGGUACUCGAGUGGCGAACGGGUGAGUAACACGUGAGUGAUCUGCCCCCAACUUGGGUAUAAGCCUGGGAAACUGGGUCUAAUUCCCGAUAGGACUGCAGGGUGGUGCCUGUGGUGGAAAACGAUUUUCUAGUGGUUGGGGAUGAGCUCGCGGCCUAUCAGCUUGUUGGUGGGGUAAUGGCCUACCAAGGCGGCGACGGGUAGCCGGCCUGAGAGGGUGGACGGCCACAGUGGGACUGAGAUACGGCCCAGACUCCUACGGGAGGCAGCAGUGGGGAAUAUUGCACAAUGGGCGGAAGCCUGAGGCAGCGACGCCGCGUGGGGGAUGACGGCCUUCGGGUUGUAAACUCCUUUCGACCGCGAGGAAGCCACCUGGUUGGAAGGGUGGUGACGGUAGUGGUAGAAGAAGCACCGGCUAACUACGUG
Molecule: ribosomal RNA, 494 nt
Filed under: uncultured bacterium
Lineage: Bacteria
Description: partial 16S ribosomal RNA
Rfam family: Bacterial small subunit ribosomal RNA
Source: RNAcentral